GCCUACGGGAGGCAGCAGUAGGGAAUUUUCGUCAAUGGGCGCAAGCCUGAACGAGCAAUGCCGCGUGAACGAGGAAGGUCUUCGGAUCGUAAAGUUCUGUUGAAGGGGAAAAAGAGCGGAGAGAGGAAAUGGUCUCCGAUUGAUAUUACCCUUCGAGGAAGUCACGGCUAACUACGUGCCAGCAGCCGCGGUAAUACGUAGGUGGCGAGCGUUAUCCGGAUUUAUUGGGUUUAAAGGGUGCGUAGGCGGUCCGUUAAGUC
RNAcentral lists this ribosomal RNA (260 nucleotides) under uncultured bacterium. Its description in RNAcentral is "partial 16S ribosomal RNA". It matches the Rfam family "Bacterial small subunit ribosomal RNA", at positions 337 to 589 of the family's 1533-position model. The record is from RNAcentral.